This 2748-nucleotide long non-coding RNA is filed under the name Citrus x clementina. Its description in RNAcentral is "Citrus clementina (C. clementina) long non-coding RNA (CCLE_LNC000996)". Lineage: Eukaryota; Viridiplantae; Streptophyta; Magnoliopsida; Sapindales; Rutaceae. The record is from RNAcentral.
GGGGUAAAAAAAAAUUACCCUUAAUAAAGCCAAGAGGAGAGAAAAGAACCACUAGUCUGUGGAAGUAUUAUCAUGAUGUGGACCAAGGAGAGGAAGCAUGGAAACGUGGGCAAUGUCCACGUGGAGCCUUGCAGACCCAGUAAGGGAUUUAGGCACAAACCUUUUUCUCUCUCUGUUUGGGGCGUGAACUCUUGUUUUCAUUGAGAUUGUCUUUACUCACUCACUCUCAUCUGCGGGCAGGUUGCAGCCGAUCUGCUCUAUGGGAGGAUUAAAUUUUUAGGUCCUCAAUGGCUUAAAUUGACCUCUCAUUCCAUUUGUUUGAAAUUUGGUGAUAUGGUGUGUGAAUUUCGCGUACAUGUUGUCUUUUCACGUGACACUUUAUUUUUCUCUCCAUGAUCUUCGUAACUUCAUCAUCUUCUCCAUCAUCGAUCAACUCCAACAUACCAAUAAUAUCGACCACUCUAUUAAUACUUUAGCGUAACGUUACUUACGUUAGGAUUUGUAGUGUUAACAUCUUAUGCUAUAAUAUGUAGUCUUGGUUAUAUUGAUUAAUUCCCAAAUUAUAAGGUUAUGAGCCCAUUUGGAAGUGUGGUGAUGACAACCCAACUAUUAAGUUGUUUGGUAACACUUGUAACUGGUCUUUGGCAGCUUACUAGAUUUUUUUUCUCAGCUUCUACUCCACAGUUAUAAUUUUUACUCCACAGCAGCUGCAGCUUAAAAGUUACAGCACCUCAUUUCCAAACACACCAUAUGUCUUUGAUUGUAAUACAUACAACUCAAGUCAUUUUGUAAUUAAUAGAGGCCUCUUCUAAUUUUUUCAGGGUUGAGUGCUCCUAUUAGUGUGUGGGUUCUAUCGAAAACCCUGAGAAGAAAAUUUUGUAGCUCAAUUUGACUCGUGGCAAUGAAUUUUCUCUGGCUUUGGCCUUUUCUACAAGGAGUAGAGAAUAAAGAGUUCCAAUAUUGAAAAAUGACAUAUGUACCAAAAUUUCGUUAAAAUCGAAUCAAUUGAUUUUUAUUUAUUUAUUUUUGGUAGAAUGGUCCAUCACUUAAUUUUGAAUUAAUUUUAACGGAAAAUGUUAAUUUUGGUAGUUCUGAUAAACAGAAUUUUGAUUCGUAUAUCAAUGUUGUCCAAUAUUUGAAGAUGCCUUCCAUAAUAAGAAGAUACAGUAUUUAAUGUGUUUUUAAUUAUUUAAAAAAAGAAUCCUACGAAGUGUUUCACUUAUUCAAAACAUGCAACUAGAAAAGAUUAAUUUUGACAAGCUAUAUAUAGAAAAUUUAAUUUCCACUGAUUCUAUAGAUGCUACCUAAUUGAGAUAGUAAAAUAUCUUUAUAUUGAACACAAGAGAUUGGUGUUUGAAUCCCUCUCACAUGGUGUAGAAGGGGUUGAAUUAUCAUUACACUAAAUAUAUACCCAACAAACAAUAAAUAGAAAAGCAUAUCUAACUCUAGGGCAGUAAUGAAUUUUAUUAGGGAGAUUAUAUCAGACAUUAGCUGAGAAUAAAUUUUAGAGAUCUAGAUAACUAUUAACUCAUAAGCUAACUUUAUACUCCAAUUUAGGGCUACAUGACUUUUAUAAAAUUUUCCACUCACAACAUGCAAAGGCUUAUUCAGAAAUAAUAUAUCUUUUAAAGUUUUUCCUCAGGGAUUUGAUUCAAAAGUGUGCUUCUUGAUGCAACGAGAUGCAAUAAAUUUUUUAUCUCUUUUUGCAGGUUUUCGAUAUCAAAAGUCUUCUUAACAUGCUGCAUUAUAAUGAGUAAGCAUUAUUAAGAACUUGAAGAGACAUUAAAACCCUAACAAACCUUAAGCAUGAUGAAAAGAGUAGAGAGACAUAAAAGCGAUACUAUAUUAUAAAGAAAACAAACAGUGUCUGCUUCAAAGAUGUGGGAAGACACAGAAAAGAUAAUGUAAACAAUUGAAGGGGUGACCCUUUAGCAUUGAAUUGAUCAUAUAAUUAUAUUCAAAUAAAUUAUAUAUUAAGUAUAUGCCAUAUUGGCUGCGCUAGCACUAGUAGAAGCCUGAAGUCCUGAAGAGAUAUUUUAAAAAAUUGGACCAUGAAUCAUGUUUCUGUUUUCUCAGUAGUGCUAAACAACCUGUGCAGGCCAUUGUCUCUCUGUUGCUCUGGAAUCUGCGCACAUGACCACUAGACCCAUCUAACAUGCACAGGCAAAUUUUUUUAAUCACUAUAAUUAGGGAUGACAAUGGGGAGGGGAGGGGAGGAGACCAAUCUCCCCGUACCCAUCCCCGAUAUUUUGCUUAUGUCUUCGUUCCUGUCAAAAUUACUUGAGAGAAUCUUUAUUUCUUCCUCGAAUAAUAACAGGGGAUCCCCGAAGGUCCCCGAUCCCCGAAUAACUAAUACAUUUUUUUUUUGUUUUUGAGUUAAUUAUAUUAAAAUAAAAAAUUUAAAUAAAAGUAAAGUUUAAAAUAUAUCUUGCAUUAAUAUCCAUUACAAAAGUCACAUAUAUUAAAUUAGUAAGUAACGCAGCAUGCAAGGGAUACAAACUUCUUUUACAAAUUAUUGUGAACAAAUUAAUAAUUUAAUACAAAAUUGUUACAAAUAAAAUCGAAUUUAGAUUCAAAAUUAACUUUUUCAAUGGUGGCGUGGACACUUUAUAAAUGUGGACUAUUCCCUUUACAACACAAUAGUUAAGUCGGAGCAAAUCAAGAGCAAAUAUUAGAUUAGAUUAGAUUAGAUUAGAUUAGAUAUUAAAAUUGUGAUUCGUUGUGGGCAAUAAUAACAUCUAAAAAUAA